This is a non-coding RNA of Blumeria graminis, 75 nucleotides long. Lineage: Eukaryota; Fungi; Ascomycota; Leotiomycetes; Helotiales; Erysiphaceae. The record is from Rfam.
AGCCAAUGAUGAAAAAAAAAAUCAGUUCUGCUUCUGAAUACCAUGAAGAUUUUUAACAAACCAAUUUUCUGAGGA